AAGACUCUAUAAAAAGCGAGCCUCUACACAAGUUUAAAGGGUGAGUCAUUGAAUCAACAGUGAUUCAUAUAUAGAGAGUUAGAGAGAGAUACAGUGAGUGGGAAAGUCUUCACCACUAAGGGAUCAUCUCUAGAGGGAUUGUCAUCGGGGUAACCAUUCUCGGCCCGGGAACUUGAAGGGUGGAAUCAACAAGAAGACUCUAGUAGCCUUCUAAAAGGAGACGUGCAAAGAAGAUCUUGGUCGUGAUCGUGGGCUGUAAGAUAAACAAGAGAUCCAGGUAAUUUCAAUAUUCCGCUGCAUAAGGUAAACGCUGUGAUCUUUUGUUUGCUAUUUAACAUUGGUAUUAGAGCCACGAUCUACUUGUUUUUGCCCUCAUGGAUGUGAUUUCAUGAUUUUCUAUGCCAUCAUUUGCAUGUUGGAUGAGUUCGCAAUGAAAAAUUUGCAUAACUUAUAUAUUCGGAUUUCUCAUUUGAGGUUCCAUUAUGGCAUGUUUUUGGUUAAACUCUUACAUGUUUAUGUUCCUUAUGAUGUCAGUAACAUGAUAGUAAAAUAUCUUGAAGUUUCGUGCUCCAUAGAGGGAGAAAUUUGAAACACUAAUUUUUGAUUGCUCAUACGAGGCCGAAUGUUUCAGACUAUUUUUAAAAUGAUAAACAUCAUUUAUUGAAACAAUUGAUUUGAUGGUUUGAUAGAGGAUUUCAAGAGCUUUAAAACGACAUAUCAUAUGCGUAAUUUCAACUUGAAUUGAGUAAGUUAUGGCUGAUAGAAUAUGUGGUCGAGAUAAGGCAAAACCAAAAAAAACAUGGGGCUGGAGGU
RNAcentral lists this long non-coding RNA (813 nucleotides) under Phoenix dactylifera (date palm). RNAcentral's name for it is "long non-coding RNA (PDAC_LNC017965)". Lineage: Eukaryota; Viridiplantae; Streptophyta; Magnoliopsida; Arecales; Arecaceae. The record is from RNAcentral.